UACAGAGGUCUCGAGCGUUGUUCGGAUUCAUUGGGCGUAAAGGGUGCGUAGGUGGCGUGGUAAGUCUGGUGUGAAAUCCCGGGGCUCAACCCCGGAACUGCACUGGAUACUGCCAUGCUUGAGUACUGGAGAGGAGAUUGGAAUUUACGGUGUAGCAGUGAAAUGCGUAGAUAUCGUAAGGAAGACCAGUGGCGAAGGCGAAUCUCUGGACAGUUCCUGACGCUGAGGCAACGGAAGGUCAGGGGAGCAAACGGG
Molecule: ribosomal RNA, 255 nt
Filed under: uncultured bacterium
Lineage: Bacteria
Description: partial 16S ribosomal RNA
Rfam family: Bacterial small subunit ribosomal RNA
Source: RNAcentral